GACAGGUGCUGCAUGGCUGUCGUCAGCUCGUGUUGUGAAAUGUUGGGUUAAGUCUCGCAACGAGCGCAACCCCUAUCUUUAGUUGCCAGCAUUAAGUUGGGCACUCUAGAGAGACUGCCCGGGUUAACCGGGAGGAAGGUGGGGAUGACGUCAAGUCCUCAUGGCCCUUAUGCCUAGGGCUACACACGUAAUACAAUGGUACAUACAAUGGGACGCGACCCUGCGAAGGUGAGCAAAUCUCAAAAAGUGUAUCUCAGUCCGGAUUGGAGUCUGCAACUCGACUCCAUGAAGUUGGAAUCGCUAGUA
This 306-nucleotide ribosomal RNA is filed under the name uncultured Peredibacter sp. Its description in RNAcentral is "bacterial SSU rRNA". It matches the Rfam family "Bacterial small subunit ribosomal RNA", at positions 1033 to 1340 of the family's 1533-position model. Lineage: Bacteria; Pseudomonadati; Bdellovibrionota; Bacteriovoracia; Bacteriovoracales; Bacteriovoracaceae. The record is from RNAcentral.